Long non-coding RNA from Malaclemys terrapin pileata, 1700 nucleotides. RefSeq lists it as uncharacterized. Lineage: Eukaryota; Metazoa; Chordata; Testudines; Emydidae. The transcript is spliced from 4 exons. The record is from RefSeq and is a predicted model, not a curated record.
AUUUGUUCUUGAACCAACUAUUUUCUGCUUUUGCAUUAUCUGUGCAGGUGCCAGUUCCAGGAGCAGCACGACCGAGAAUCCACCUUAUCAAGGACUGGAAAAUGAUACAAUAUUGGCAAUUACAAUUCCUGUUUUGGUGGGUGUGAUUUUGGCUCUUGUUCUGCCCCUGGUGUAUUACCUUAAGAAGAAGAAAGACAGAAAGAAAUUACUCCCACGUAAUAUAUCAACUUGUGUCCAAGUCAGAGGAUUUGGUACCUACAGCAGCCCCCUAUAAAUGGUGAUGCUGUUGUGGGAUAUAUGGGGUACUUCAGCUGUUUACCUGGAUUAUGUUAUGGCUCCCCAUCAUCACUAUACUAUCUAAGGUAAUGAUGAUGCUUAAUAGCUAGUGACUUCAUUCAUGAAAUCAGGGUCCCUUUGUGUUGGUCACUGAACAAACAAGUAACAGAGAAGACUGUCCCUGCCACAGACAGUGUAAAGUCUACAUAUUGUUAUUAAUCAUUAAUAGUAUGGUUGUUCUUGCUAUUGUUAUGAUUAAUCAUUGCUAUUGCAACAAUGUCUAGGGGCCUCAAACAGGCUGGGUCCCAUUGUGCUUGGUGCUGUACAAACACAGAGUAUAUGACAGUCCCUGACUCUAAGAGUUGCAGUAUAAAAGGGUGUGAACAAAGACAGAGAUUAGCUCCAUUAGUGAUCUGGUGGCUGUGUCCACCUGUGAGAGUCCUUCCCCACCAAGAAAACUCCAGCUAGCCUAGGGCAAAAUCCACUAACAAGUGGUAAGUUUUGCCCAUGCUGUUCACCAGUUGUUACAUGCAGGUUGUCAGUGCAGAGUUAAAAUAUCACAGUUUCCAGCAGAGGUAUGACCCCAGGAUGAUGUGGCUAUGAGCUGCCUCCCACUCCAACCCCCCUUCUGAUCAGAGGGAACAAGUUAAGCUGCCUUCUCCUAAUCCAGCGAUACUGGGUUGCAAACCACUCAUCAGAAAACAAAAUUUCCAUUGCACAGGAAAUUCCAAUAUUUCAACAUUUGUUUUCAUGCCAAAUAGGAAUGAAAAAUUAAAAUGUUGAUGUUUUCUGCAAAACCAAAAUUCCCACAAAAUCAUUUUGGAAACAUCAAAAGGUUUUGUUUUCAUAACAUCGAAACAUUAUACUAUACUAUGACAUAUUAGCUGUACGAUUUGUAAAUAUAGCAUAUAUAAUAAACCAUUAAAAUUAAUAUUUUAACAAUAUAAAAGUCACAAUCAAAUGAAUCGAAACAAAGUUGAAAUUAAACAUGUUGGCCUUAUUGAAGCUAAACUUGAAGUUAUUGAAACAAAAAGUUUUAACAGUAUUGAAAUAAAAUGAGAAAGUUGGACUAAUUCAUUUUGACUUCCUCCAGUCAAAAAUUUUGUCAAAUCCACAUCUUCCCAUGAAACCCUUUCUAGUUCAACAUAACUGAAUUUUCCAAGCAACUAAUUGCUAAGGCAAGGCAUGGUAAGUGUGUGGCUCUAUAGCAGCCUCUGUGUCACUUUUCUUGCAUAUACUUCUUAAAGAGAGAUGGCCCUUAAUUUCAAAAUUCAGAUGUGCAGCCGGAACACUCCAUAGUUUGGGACUGUGGUGCUUCGAUGCAGGGUUACACUCAGCAUCCUGAUGAGACGGGGACUACUUGUGCAGGUUGCAAAGCCUCCGUGAGAGGAACGAUAAUCCCAGUGAAGAUCAGUACACGGGUA